AAGUAUUAGUGGAGCAGCUCCUUGGACCACAAUUCACUGCAUUGGAAGGCCUGGCCGGCCUUGGCAAGUCCAAAGGAGAAGGGCGGAAUGGGUUUCCGGGGUCUUGAGCUUUGCAACAUAGCACUUCUCGGCAAACACGGUUGGCGACUGAUGACGAAUCCAUCAUUGCUUUGUGCUAGAGUUCUCAAAGGGAGAUAUUUUCCCACUUGUGAUUUCAUGCAAGCUACAACCCCGCGGUAUUCCCCGGCAAUGUGGCAUGCCAUUAUCGCAGGGAGGGAUUCUUUGCAAGUUGGUCUGAUCAAACGCAUUGGAGAUGGCAGGUCGGUCUCUAUCUGGGAUGAGUAGUGGAUUCCC
This 354-nucleotide ribosomal RNA is filed under the name Triticum aestivum (bread wheat). RNAcentral's name for it is "partial small subunit ribosomal RNA". The record is from RNAcentral. Lineage: Eukaryota; Viridiplantae; Streptophyta; Magnoliopsida; Poales; Poaceae.